Molecule: ribosomal RNA, 496 nt
Filed under: uncultured bacterium
Lineage: Bacteria
Description: partial 16S ribosomal RNA
Rfam family: Bacterial small subunit ribosomal RNA
Source: RNAcentral
AUGAACGCUGGCGGCGUGCCUAAUACAUGCAAGUCGCGCGAACAGACGAGGAGCUUGCUCCUCUGACGUUAGCGGCGGACGGGUGAGUAACACGUGGAUAACCUACCUAUAAGACUGGGAUAACUUCGGGAAACCGGAGCUAAUACCGGAUAAUAUAUUGAACCGCAUGGUUCAGUAGUGAAAGACGGUUUUGCUGUCACUUAUAGAUGGAUCCGCGCCGCAUUAGCUAGUUGGUAAGGUAACGGCUUACCAAGGCAACGAUGCGUAGCCGACCUGAGAGGGUGAUCGGCCACACUGGAACUGAGACACGGUCCAGACUCCUACGGGAGGCAGCAGUAGGGAAUCUUCCGCAAAGGGCGAAAGCUUGACGGAGCAACGCCGCGUGAGUGAUGAAGGUCUUCGGAUCGUAAAACUCUGUUAUUAGGGAAGAACAAAUGUGUAAGUAACUAUGCACGUCUUGACGGUACCUAAUCAGAAAGCCACGGCUAACUACGUG